UGGCUGUGCUAAUAGUAAUAGAUGACUCUUAGCGACCCUGCGCAUUCUCUAAUUUUCCGUACAUGAAAGUUUAUUAAAUGCAUGCAGUGCUUUAUCCUGAUUUGCAAGAGGAACAACAUGAAAUUCCUAUUUCACAUAAGUGAAGAAAAUCUAUAACACUGAUUGUUAUAGUUGGUGGUCCGGUGAUUCCAGUUUAUUUCUCUAAUUUGAUGUAGGAAAUGGAUUGUAAAUUGCAAGUGAGUUGGGGCUUCUGAUUGGACCUUGUGGUGGUUGGAUCUGCUGACAGAUAGGGAGAAGCAUGAUAUGUUGCUACUGCUGCACCUAUUAUUUGAUUUCUCUCAAUUUGCAAGAGGAACAACAUGAAAUUCCUAUUUCACAUAAGUGAAGAAAAUCUAUAACACUGAUUGUUAUAGUUGGUGGUCCGGUGAUUCCAGUUUAUUUCUCUAAUUUGAUGUAGGAAAUGGAUUGUAAAUUGCAAGUGAGUUGGGGCUUCUGAUUGGACCUUGUGGUGGUUGGAUCUGCUGACAGAUAGGGAGAAGCAUG
Molecule: long non-coding RNA, 543 nt
Filed under: Triticum aestivum (bread wheat)
Lineage: Eukaryota; Viridiplantae; Streptophyta; Magnoliopsida; Poales; Poaceae
Description: long non-coding RNA (TAES_LNC019679)
Source: RNAcentral